This 1265-nucleotide long non-coding RNA is filed under the name Heterocephalus glaber (naked mole-rat). RNAcentral's name for it is "lncRNA (ENSHGLG00100035100.1)". Lineage: Eukaryota; Metazoa; Chordata; Mammalia; Rodentia; Bathyergidae. The record is from RNAcentral.
CUGGGGCCAAGCACAAAGCAGCUUCCCAGUAAAUACAAAGAGUUCAACUCCACUGAUCGAGAAGACUCAGGGCCUCAUGGCCUUGCUUUGCACCCCCGCCCCUCUGACUGCAGGGGGCUUGUGUCUUCUGGUGUCUUUGACUCAGUGGGGCAUGAAGCACAGAGCUCAAGGCUGGUGGGGGCCCCUCUGCAGGCAGGAUGUAGGGCAGCUUCAUGAGGCUGGGUUCCUGGGCGGCUUUGUCUCCAGAUCUCCAUCCCUGAGGUACACAGGUGAGGCAUGGCAGGCUACCGUGUGGGCCCAAAGUCUCCAGCCCUUGGCUGCUCCCUCUCCUCACUUGCAGAGGCUGGGCGAUGCCAGGUGCCAUCGCUGCUUGCAGUUGCCCCUGCAGCCCGUGAGCUGGCAGAAGGCUGGCUCUGUCAAAAUUAGCCCCAAAGGUAGAAGUACAAGAAACAAAUGGCCAGAAAGAAGAGGAAUAGCUGCUCAGUGCUCACGGAGAAUCCCGUCUGCCUUCAGCUGAGUAGCUGUGUCCUAUAGCCCCUGGGUGCUGGGGCUGAGUAGGCUCCUCUUGCCCUACACCUGUUCUGCUUCCUCAGGUAGGUCUCCAGCUUGAGGCCACUCAGCUGCUAGGCACCUUUCCAUUCCCCAGGAAAUGCUGGAAGUAGGUCUGUAGACAAAGAGACCUGCCCCUGUUGCUCAGCCUCCUCUGGUGGCAUUGUGAUGCUGGCCUGACUGCCAUUAUGAUGGCCGCUGGGUGGGGGUGGGGCUGCUUCGGGCAGGGCCCCUCACGCAGAACUCUCAUGGGCAUCAUGAACCAGCUCCCUCCCUAGGCCUGCUGUUACCUGGCCCAGUCUCCCAGCCAGCAUCUUCCCUCCAUUCUGGGCAGGGGAGGGUCUAGGCUGGGAAUUGGCCAAAGCUGUGCUGUCCAGUGUAGUGGCUUCUAGCCACAUGUGGUUCUUGACUUAAAAGCAAAUAUAAUAGCUGCCAAGAGUGACCCUGCCACUCUUGAUGACCCAAAGGAUGACACAGUUUCCCACUGGCGCAGAGAUAAGAAGAUGAAGGAGGAACAAAGCCUUGGGGUGGUGGGAAGAAGAGAAAAGAUAAGCUGGAUGACUGAGCCCUGGGAUGACUCAACAUUUGGAAGUCAAGGUCCAAGUAGAGCCAGGAGACUAAGAGAGAAUGACCAUCGUGGUGGAAGAGAGAAGAAGGAAGGGCAGUUUAGUGCAGACUGAAGUAGGUUUAUGUAAAAUAAAAGGCACAGGCAUGAC